AACGGCCAUACCAUGCUGAAUAUACCGGUUCUCGUUAGAUCACUGAAGUCAAGCAUCAUUGGGCGCGGUUAGUACUUAGGAGGGUGACCACCUGGGAACACCGCGUGCCGUU
This 112-nucleotide ribosomal RNA is filed under the name Caerostris extrusa. Lineage: Eukaryota; Metazoa; Arthropoda; Arachnida; Araneae; Araneidae. The record is from RNAcentral.